RNAcentral lists this ribosomal RNA (252 nucleotides) under uncultured bacterium. Its description in RNAcentral is "partial 16S ribosomal RNA". It matches the Rfam family "Bacterial small subunit ribosomal RNA", at positions 525 to 776 of the family's 1533-position model. The record is from RNAcentral.
ACGGAGGGUCCAAGCGUUAUCCGGAUUUAUUGGGUUUAAAGGGUCCGUAGGCGGGAAUUCAAGUCAGUGGUGAAAUCCUGCAGCUUAACUGCAGAACUGCCAUUGAAACUGUUUUUCUUGAGUAUAGAUGAAGUGGGCGGAAUGUAUCAUGUAGCGGUGAAAUGCAUAGAUAUGAUACAGAACACCGAUUGCGAAGGCAGCUCACUAAACUAUUACUGACGCUGAGGGACGAAAGCGUGGGGAGCGAACAGG